Molecule: ribosomal RNA, 1013 nt
Filed under: Hesperomyces virescens
Lineage: Eukaryota; Fungi; Ascomycota; Laboulbeniomycetes; Laboulbeniales; Laboulbeniaceae
Description: SSU rRNA
Rfam family: Eukaryotic small subunit ribosomal RNA
Source: RNAcentral
CUGCGAAUGGCUCAUUAAAUCAGUUAUUGUUUAUUUGAUGGUACCUUUACUACUUGGAUAACCGUGGUAAUUCUAGAGCUAAUACAUGCUAAAAACCCCGACUCAUGAAGGGGUGUAUUUAUUAGAUUCAAACCAGUGUCCCUCGGGACUUUUUGGUGACUCAUAAUAACUUAACGCAGCGCAUGGCCUUCGUGCCGGCGCGGGAUCAUUCAAAUACCUGCCCUAUCAAGUUUCGAUGUGAGGGUAGUGUCCUCACAUGCUUUUGACGGGUAACGGGGAAUUAGGGUUCGACUCCGGAGAGGGAGCCUGAGAAACGGCUACCACAUCCAAGGAAGGCAGCAGGCGCGCAAAUUACCCAAUCCCGAUACGGGGAGGUAGUGACAAGAAAUACCGAUUCAGGAUCUUAUUGGAUCUUGAGAUUGGAAUGAGUACAAUUCAAACCCAUUAACGAGGAACAACUAGAGGGCAAGUCUGGUGCCAGCAGCCGCGGUAAUUCCAGCUCUAGUAGCGUAUAUUAAAAUUGUUGCAGUUAAAACGCUCGUAGUUGAACUUUGGGCUUGGCUGGCUGGUCCGCCUCACCGCGAGCACUGGUCCGGCUGGGCCUUUCCUCUUGGGGAUCCACAUGCCCUUCACUUGGGUGUGUUGGGGAACCAGGACUUUUACUUUGAAAAAAUUAGGGUGUUCAAAGCAGGCAUUUGCUCGAAUACAUUAGCAUGGGAUAAUAGAAUAGGACGUGUGGUCUUAUUUUGUUGGUUUCUAGGACCGCCGUAAUGAUUGAUAGGGAUAGUUGGGGGCAUCGGUAUUCAAUUGUCAGAGGUGAAAUUCUUGGAUUUAUUGAAGACCAACUACUGCGAAAGCAUUUGCCAAAGAUGUUUUCAUUAAUCAGGGAACGAAAGUUAGGGGAUCGAAGAUGAUCAGAUACCGUCGUAGUCUUAACCGUAAACUAUGCCGACUAGGGAUCGGGUGGUGUUCCAUUUAUGACCCACUCGGCACCUUACGAGAAAUCAAAGUUU